UACGGAGGAUCCGAGCGUUAUCCGGAUUUAUUGGGUUUAAAGGGUGCGCAGGCGGGAGAUUAAGUCGGCGGUGAAAUUCUGCAGCUCAACUGUAAAAGUGCCUUCGAAACUGGUUUCCUUGAGUGUAGAUGAAGUAGGCGGAAUUUGUGGUGUAGCGGUGAAAUGCAUAGAUAUCACGAGGAACUCCGAUUGCGCAGGCAGCUUACUAAACUACUACUGACGCUCAGGCACGAAGGCGUGGGGAUCAAACAGGAUUAGAUACCCU
This 265-nucleotide ribosomal RNA is filed under the name uncultured prokaryote. RNAcentral describes it as "partial 16S ribosomal RNA". It matches the Rfam family "Bacterial small subunit ribosomal RNA", at positions 524 to 788 of the family's 1533-position model. The record is from RNAcentral.